AAAAGAGAGUCCCGUUCGGCCCGCUCUUCACUCCCGGCACUGGGACGCUGCUGUAGACGGUACGUUCCUCGAGAAACUGCUGGCCCUCGUCUUGGGUGUAGCCAUGGCUGCUCAAAGGCUCCUGCUUUAAGCCACAGCAACGAUCAGAAUCAUUCGUUCAAAGGAAGAGACCCAGACUCGGGUGCCCGGGGAAUGAAUCAAGCUUUAUUCCCAGACCUUAAAAACACUAGAAAGGAAACAUAAAGAGGGAAAACAUAAGUUUCCGGCAAACGGGCAUUUCGUCGAACACCUGGUGCGCCCAAGUAAGAGGGGUAAAAAUACGUACCUCGUCGUCAGCUUCUUGAGCUUGGGGCUACAUGCAUAUCUGCAAGCACGCACGCAACGACGAGGUCGAGAUCAAAGUUCUGCUCUUUCCAGGAUGGAACUGAACCAAUUCAACCGAUCGAGCGCGCCGGAGAGGGAGAGGCGGGGUAGGGCUUGGUGGCAGGAGAGAACGAAGGAGGUGGGCUUGUGUUCUUGUGGGUGGGCCG
This 530-nucleotide long non-coding RNA is filed under the name Eucalyptus grandis. RNAcentral's name for it is "long non-coding RNA (EGRA_LNC007298)". Lineage: Eukaryota; Viridiplantae; Streptophyta; Magnoliopsida; Myrtales; Myrtaceae. The record is from RNAcentral.